GAAGUUUUCAUAUGGUAAUAUUAGCUAUCUGCAGAUGUCUCGACAAGAUACAAUAAGUUCACAAAAUGAAAUUUUAAUCAAAACUCGUACAUUUGAUUUGACAUCACUAUCACACUGCUACUGUGGCAAAAGCCGAAGAUAGGCCGAUACAAGACUGGGCUUGUGCCAAUCUUCUGGACUCAAUAGGCAAAGGCCAUUUCUCUUGGAUCUGACAUCCCAAAAGAAAAAGCCUCUCUGUUGUGCAACCACGAGGAGCGCCAUGGGUAAUCUGGAGCUCCAGUGGGUUCAAGUUCUUUGAAGAGGAAAAAUUGUUCUUUUGUUUUUAUUCACGUUCUUGAUCUUUGCUUUGAAGUUCUUAAUCUCAAAAAACUUUUUCAAGGAGACCUUGCUUUCUUUUUAUCCUCUUUCUUGAUCUUUUUGACUGAGAUCAAAUGUGAAAUUCUAUUGAGAAUGCUCAUUUUGCUUCAAUUUCUUGAUCUCCUGAAAGUAUUGUCGAUUUUCCAGAUUGCAUAGUUCAUCAUACAUUGCUCAAUUUAGCAUCUCUUUUCUUGGAGUAGAAUUGAUAGCAAUUUGAGAAAAGGAGUCUGUUUACUAUCAAAUUUCUUCAAUUCUACAUGCGGGACCAGCGGCCACGCAAUGGGAAGGAUAUUCAAAGUUUGAAUCUAUCUUGGGUUUAACAUAAAGAACUUGAGAAUCAAAAUCGAACAAAUUUAUAUAGAGAAAUGCAUAGUAACAAUGCAAAGUUCGAUCUCUCAAUCAUGAUAUGCACCCUGAAACGAAGUACUCAAUUUAUAAGGCAAGUAUUGCUCAUACGCUUCUCUUAGCCCACUCAUUUUCAUCUCUAAGAUUCAGUAUUUUGCACGAUAAGCUUACUGCUAUCCCAGUCCCAGAGAUCAGGAUCAAACCAUGAAAUCACAGCCAACACAAUCAAAGCAUCUGCAAAUUUAAAAAGAAAUUCCAAAACAAAUUUAUUUUGAAAGAGGAUCACCUUACAUCAGCAAUAUUUACAUAUCAUGAAAACCAAAAAGAUUAAAGAUCAUGAUAAUAAUGACAAUCACCAUCAUCGCAAUCAGACAGUCUCAGUCUCUUCUGGAUCUUCAAAGUUAGGGUCCUUCACAUCGACAGCUUCCCCCUGGAGCCCGAUCUCAGCCUGGGAAUACCCAUCGCCGGCCCAAGUAAACUUGCCGCCGUGACCUCCUUUCUUAGGCGAUCCACUCAUGCCAGUGGCAGAUUUCCUAUCUUUCCUAACAUCGGACUUGGAAUUAGCAUUCGUUUUGGAGCUCUUCACUGUGUUCUUCAUUUUCCCUGAUUCUCGGCUUCUAAAUGCUCUCAAAUUGAAGAUGGUUUGAGGGUUUAUGUAGCAGAGGGGAGAGGGAAACUGCGGGCGUGGCGUUUUGUGAUUGGGUGGCCCAU
This 1413-nucleotide unclassified non-coding RNA is filed under the name Hevea brasiliensis (rubber tree). The record is from RNAcentral. Lineage: Eukaryota; Viridiplantae; Streptophyta; Magnoliopsida; Malpighiales; Euphorbiaceae.